Molecule: non-coding RNA, 26 nt
Filed under: Homo sapiens (human)
Lineage: Eukaryota; Metazoa; Chordata; Mammalia; Primates; Hominidae
Source: RNAcentral
GAUAAGAAGGUACUGGAGAUGCUUCC